UACGGGGGGGGCAAGCGUUGUUCGGAAUUACUGGGCGUAAAGGGCACGUAGGCGGCUGUGUAAGUCUGUCGUGAAAGCCCGAGGCUCAACCGCGGAAUUGCGUGAAAUACUGUCUGGCUUGAGUUCGGGAGAGGAGGGUGGAAUUCCCAGUGUAGAGGUGAAAUUCGUAGAGAUUGGGAAGAACACCAGUGGCGAAGGCGGCUCACUGGCCCGUAACUGACGCUGAGGUGCGAAAGCGUGGGGAGCAAACAGG
RNAcentral lists this ribosomal RNA (253 nucleotides) under uncultured bacterium. Its description in RNAcentral is "partial 16S ribosomal RNA". It matches the Rfam family "Bacterial small subunit ribosomal RNA", at positions 524 to 776 of the family's 1533-position model. The record is from RNAcentral.